This 510-nucleotide ribosomal RNA is filed under the name uncultured bacterium. Its description in RNAcentral is "partial 16S ribosomal RNA". It matches the Rfam family "Bacterial small subunit ribosomal RNA", at positions 28 to 507 of the family's 1533-position model. The record is from RNAcentral.
GACGAACGCUGGCGGCGUGCUUAACACAUGCAAGUCGAACGAAGAGCGAUGGAAGCUUGCUUCUAUCAAUCUUAGUGGCGCACGGGUGAGUAACGCGUAAUCAACCUGCCCUUCAGAGGGGGACAACAGUUGGAAACGACUGCUAAUACCGCAUACGAUCUAACCUCGGCAUCGAGGAUAGAUGAAAGGUGGCCUCUACAUGUAAGCUAUCACUGAAGGAGGGGAUUGCGUCUGAUUAGCUAGUUGGAGGGGUAACGGCCCACCAAGGCGAUGAUCAGUAGCCGGUCUGAGAGGAUGAACGGCCACAUUGGGACUGAGACACGGCCCAGACUCCUACGGGAGGCAGCAGUGGGGAAUCUUCCGCAAUGGACGAAAGUCUGACGGAGCAACGCCGCGUGAGUGAUGACGGCCUUCGGGUUGUAAAGCUCUGUUAAUCGGGACGAAAGGCCUUCUUGCGAAUAGUGAGAAGGAUUGACGGUACCGGAAGAGAAAGCCACGGCUAACUACGUG